CUAGCGUUGUUCGGAAUUACUGGGCGUAAAGCGCACGUAGGCGGUUUUGUAAGUUAGAGGUGAAAGCCUGGGGCUCAACCCCAGAAUAGCCUUUAAGACUGCAUCACUUGAACGUCGGAGAGGUGAGUGGAAUUCCGAGUGUAGGGGUGAAAUUCGUAGAUAUUCGGAAGAACACCAGUGGCGAAGGCGGCUCACUGGACGACUGUUGACGCUGAGGUGCGAAAGCGUGGGGAGCAAACAGG
This 242-nucleotide ribosomal RNA is filed under the name uncultured bacterium. RNAcentral's name for it is "partial 16S ribosomal RNA". It matches the Rfam family "Bacterial small subunit ribosomal RNA", at positions 535 to 776 of the family's 1533-position model. The record is from RNAcentral.